Bactrocera neohumeralis is the source of this 2435-nucleotide long non-coding RNA. RefSeq lists it as uncharacterized. The record is from RefSeq and is a predicted model, not a curated record. The transcript is spliced from 2 exons. NCBI's taxonomy places the organism in Eukaryota, Metazoa, Arthropoda, Insecta, Diptera, Tephritidae.
AGUUAUCAGCUGUUGAAACAAGCUGCAUUGGAAAAGAUAUGCAAAAACAGCAACAACAAGCAGUUAGUUAGUGCAAAUUGUUUAUUGUUAUUGUUACUAUUUUUCGUUUUUGCUGUAAUUUGAGAUCUACCAACUUUCUUACACUUUUAUUGCUGGUUGUUGUUGCAGUUUUUGUUGCGCUAAUACGUUUGUACAUACAUAGAUGUUCAACAGUAGCAGCAAUGGCAAUGGCAACAGCAACAGCCACUGCCACCAAAACAACAUCAAAUCACAACAAAUCCAUUCAGUGUGUUGUGGAAAUCGUCGGACGUCGGUUGUUGAGUGUUUUUUUUUUUUGACGUUCUGACAUACAAAUGUGUGUACAUACUUAUGCAGAUACAUACAUAUAUUGUGUGCGCUUUAACAUUUCAGCGAUUUUUUCGUCUGCAAAUUUUGACCAGUUUUUGCUUUAAUAUUUAUUUAUUUAUUGUAUUUUAUAAUGGUGCGCAUAUAAAAAGUGAGUGGAGAAUAUGGUGAAGUGUUGCCAAAUCGGCUGCGCAGACGAGCAGAUAAUAUCCCUGUGAGAUUUUCGUAAACUGGCGCUGAAAAUGUGAUUGUGUGAAUACUGAUGAAUGCGCCGAUUAGUUUGUGAUUACUAAAAAUAAUAAUAUGCAUACAUAUGUGAAUGUGUGUUGAUGUGAGUAAAAAAUUAAAAUUUACAUUUGAUAUUGACAAAUUAAGUGUGUCCACAUUAUCUGCGACAACAAGCACUUAUUUCGUAGUCAAUACGAUAGUGUGCCACUUCUAGCCACCACAAUUUAGUGAGGCCAACCUGUGUAGUGCUGAAAAAUUAUAAAUCGAUAUGUUUGACCGUGUGCCGAUUUUUGAUUAACUUACACGUGUGUGUGUUUAUUUGCUUUUCUCAACAAGUUCAAACUUCUUAGAGAGCACACCGUGUGGACAUGUGACAUUAUGGAGUACCACUCCAGCGGGGAACCCACGCGUAACGAAGCGCACAGAAACACAGUGAAAGCGUUCAAUUGGAUGAAUAAUGCUUAGUUGUUGCUAUUUACUUUGUGCCAUGCUACAAAUACAUACAUAUGAAUAUGAACCUAUGUAUGUAGGAAUGACUCCCUAGUGCACCCAUACCCCAAAGACAUACACGCACAUACUCACACACACAAAGGGCGCGCCAAGUCAGUCACGUGCAUUUCUUUUAUUUACAAGAUCAUCUCGUGUGAAAGCAGUCAUGCGGUAUGUGCAACAACAAUAAAUCCAAGCAUAUCACUCAUCCUAAUAUAUGCACGCAGCUACAGCUUCUACCAACACACACACGAAUACACUUGCCUGUGUCUUACAAGACUUAUCAGCCAACCAAACAGGCAUUAUCGCACAAUCAAAUGCAAUUCAAGCCGUCCAAUAACCCAAUAAACCAACAACUUAAGUACUGAACAACUCAGCGAUACUGCGAGACUUCAAUACGCUUCAAAGCGACGUAAGACAUACAAACAAACAUCACGCAGCCGCGUGAAAUGCCGAAUCGCCGAGCCAAACAAACGAUCAAUUGACGAUCACCUAGCCACAAGCAUACCUACACACGUGCAUACAUAUAUACGCCAGUGUAUGACUCCGUUUCGUGAAGUGCCGACUCGUCGCCUUGUUAUUGUUGUUGCUGCGCUAUGUUGACAAUAUUCGUAUAAAUCUACUACUAAUAUUCGCCGAGUAGUAGUAUCAAAGUCAAAUGCGUUUAACGCGUAGUCGAAACUGAUGAUCCGUCAGCGAACGCGUACGCGAGUGAAAUAUUCCUACAGCUACGGCUAAAGCGCUUAAAAUUUGUUGUUGCUGGUUCGUUGCUGCUGCAAAAGAAUUCUUUCUUCGCUACUUCCUCUACGAGAUUUGAUUUAUUUGUGUUUGUGUGUGUUUUUUUGUAAAUUUUUUGUUGUUGUUGCAUUUUAUUUGUUGUCGGCGGAUAACUUGGCAAUCAACAGAAUCACCGCAGUGCAAGUCAGAGCUAAGUUCGCCACUCUGCGAGAUUGAAGUGCUCGUCGCCGGAGUUAGGGCGAAGAUUAACUGUCGUGCGCGUUGAGGCUGGAGGAAAUUUGUGUGGAAAAUUGUUUGUGAAUGAGUUGGUGUUUAAAUGGCGAGGAAUGCAUACGAAAUUUGUGACAGUUAUUAAAGCAAUAAAAAUUAUAUUUCGUUUAAAUAAAGGCAUUAAAUGAAUUAAAGUGAACAUUUAAGUAAACAGCACUUGAUUUAAGACCAAAGUUUAAGAAAACUAUUUAAUUAAAUGGAAAAAAAAAUAAAUAUUUAAUUGAGUUGAAAAUACAUUACUUAAUUAUCUAAAAUUUGAAAAUAUCGAAAUUUGUUAAAAAAAAAAAUAAUUUAAUUAACUAAAAAAUUUAAAAUAUCAAAUUUUGUAAAAAAAAUUAAUUAAAUUAAAAUAAAAUUAAAUAAAU